CCUACGGGGGGCAGCAGUGGGGAAUCUUGCGCAAUGGGCGAAAGCCUGACGCAGCCAUGCCGCGUGGAUGAUGAAGGUCUUAGGAUUGUAAAAUCCUUUCAGCGGGGACGCGGUACCCGCAGAAGAAGCCCCGGCUAACUUCGUGCCAGCAGCCGCGGUAAUACGAAGGGGGCUAGCGUUGCUCGGAAUUACUGGGCGUAAAGGGAGCGUAGGCGGGUCGUUUAGUCAGAGGUGAAAUCCCGGGGCUCAACCUCGGAACUGCCUUUGAUACUGGCGACCUUGAGUAUGGGAGAGGUAAGCGGAACUCCGAGUGUAGAGGUGAAAUUCGUAGAUAUUCGGAAGAACACCAGUGGCGAAGGCGGCUUACUGGCCAUACUGACGCUGAGGCUCGAAAGCGUGGGGAGCAAACAGGAUUAGAUACCCUUGUAGUC
Molecule: ribosomal RNA, 431 nt
Filed under: uncultured bacterium
Lineage: Bacteria
Description: partial 16S ribosomal RNA
Rfam family: Bacterial small subunit ribosomal RNA
Source: RNAcentral